AACCAAGUUCUGCUUUGGACUCUGAAGAGACUUUUAAUUCUUGUAGGUUUUACAGACCAAUGUUACAUGUUUCCUGUCAAGUUACAUGUGAGAGAACACUGCCAGAUGUGAAGGAAGAGAGAGAGUGUCCUGUGUGUGCUGCAGUGGAUGUUUAACUUAGGGAAUGGAGCACACAUGGCCACAUGGUGGAAGGACUAUGGUUUCUCCAUCCUCACCUCCUCUUCCCAAGGGCAACUGACCUUCUCCUCUCCAAAACAGUCUAUCCAGCGUUGGAAAACAUGCUUUAAGAGAUAAGAUGGAGACCAGCAUCAUCGCGCAAUGGGUUAAGCCACCACCUUUGACAGCAGCACCCUGUACAAGGGCAGGUUUCAGUCCCAGAUGCUCUGCUUCUGAUCCAGCUCCCUGCUGAUGCCUGAAGAAAAAGCAGUGCAAGAUGGCCCAAGUACUUGGGCCCCUGCCACACAUGUGGGAGAAUGGAUGGAUUUCCAAGCUCCUGGUUUUGGCCUUGCUCAGCCCUGGGUAUUGGGGCCAUUUAGGAGUGAUGUGCCCUGAUGUUUCAUUAUGGAGGGAAAAAAGCACUCCCAGGCCACAGCAGAGAGCCGGACUGGAAGAGGAGCAACCAGGACAGAAUCUGGCGCCCGGACCGGGACUAGA
This is a long non-coding RNA of Lepus europaeus (European hare), 654 nucleotides long. RefSeq lists it as uncharacterized. The record is from RefSeq and is a predicted model, not a curated record. The transcript is spliced from 4 exons. Lineage: Eukaryota; Metazoa; Chordata; Mammalia; Lagomorpha; Leporidae.